RNAcentral lists this unclassified non-coding RNA (342 nucleotides) under Hypoxylon investiens. RNAcentral's name for it is "partial internal transcribed spacer region". The stretch from base 1 to 46 matches the Rfam family "Eukaryotic small subunit ribosomal RNA", at positions 1786 to 1831 of the family's 1831-position model. Lineage: Eukaryota; Fungi; Ascomycota; Sordariomycetes; Xylariales; Hypoxylaceae. The record is from RNAcentral. RNAcentral also lists the same sequence under 1 other name.
AAGUCGUAACAAGGUCUCCGUUGGUGAACCAGCGGAGGGAUCAUUACUGAGUUAUUAAAACUCCAAACCCUUUGUGAACCUUACUGUCGUUGCCUCGGCGUGAGCUACGGCUACCCUGUAGUUACCCUAUAGCUACCCUGCAGCUACCCUAUAGUUGACCAGUAGCUACCCUGUAGUUACCCUAUAGCUACCCUGCAGCUACCCUAUAGUUGACAUGUAGCUACCCUGUAGCCGGCUUAUGGCCCGCCGAAGGACCGCUAAACUCUUGUUUUUUUACCACUGUUUCUCUGAAUUGUAAACUUAAAUAAGUUAAAACUUUCAACAACGGAUCUCUUGGUUCUG